This 479-nucleotide ribosomal RNA is filed under the name uncultured bacterium. RNAcentral's name for it is "bacterial SSU rRNA". It matches the Rfam family "Bacterial small subunit ribosomal RNA", at positions 330 to 801 of the family's 1533-position model. The record is from RNAcentral.
UGCGAACUCCUACGGGAGGCAGCAGUGGGGAAUAUUGGACAAUGGGGGCAACCCUGAUCCAGCCAUGCCGCGUGUGUGAAGAAGGCCUUUUGGUUGUAAAGCACUUUAAGCAGUGAAGAAGACUCCAUGGUUAAUACCCAUGGACGAUGACAUUAGCUGCAGAAUAAGCACCGGCUAACUCUGUGCCAGCAGCCGCGGUAAUACAGAGGGUGCAAGCGUUAAUCGGAAUUACUGGGCGUAAAGCGAGCGUAGGUGGCUUGAUAAGUCAGAUGUGAAAGCCCCGGGCUUAACCUGGGAACGGCAUCUGAUACUGUUAGGCUAGAGUAGGUGAGAGGAAGGUAGAAUUCCAGGUGUAGCGGUGAAAUGCGUAGAGAUCUGGAGGAAUACCGAUGGCGAAGGCAGCCUUCUGGCAUCAUACUGACACUGAGGUUCGAAAGCGUGGGUAGCAAACAGGAUUAGAAACCCUAGUAGUCCAGAUG